GGCAUAGCUCAGCUGGUUUAGAGCAUCCCGCCCUCAGGCGGGAGGGUCGCUGGUUCGAAUCCGGCUGCUCCCA
This 73-nucleotide transfer RNA is filed under the name Flavobacteriales bacterium. RNAcentral describes it as "tRNA-Leu". It matches the Rfam family "tRNA". Rfam says of the family: Transfer RNA (tRNA) molecules are approximately 80 nucleotides in length. Their secondary structure includes four short double-helical elements and three loops (D, anti-codon, and T loops). Lineage: Bacteria; Pseudomonadati; Bacteroidota; Flavobacteriia; Flavobacteriales. The record is from RNAcentral.